Molecule: ribosomal RNA, 253 nt
Filed under: uncultured bacterium
Lineage: Bacteria
Description: partial 16S ribosomal RNA
Rfam family: Bacterial small subunit ribosomal RNA
Source: RNAcentral
UACGUAGGUGGCGAGCGUUGUCCGGAUUUACUGGGCGUAAAGAGCGCGCAGGCGGUCGUUCAAGUCGCGUGUGAAAGCCCCCGGCUCAACUGGGGAGGGUCACGCGAUACUGAUCGACUCGAAGGCAGGAGAGGGAAGUGGAAUUCCCGGUGUAGUGGUGAAAUGCGUAGAUAUCGUGAGGAAGACCAGUGGCGAAGGCGGAUCUCUGGACAAAUCCUGACGCUGAGGCGCGAAGGCUAGGGGAGCAAACGGG